UCACUUCUCAGACUAGCACAAAGCGACCAUCUUUGCUGCAGAACCAAGGUUAGCAAUUGAAUUUUCAGGGUAUUGACUCUUCGAGAUGAUCGGUUUUAGCACUCGAUAAAAACUGUAUUUUUUUUCCCCGUCCGGAUUUUUGUGUUCGACCAAUACAGAGAAAGAGGAGAGACGAAAGAAAGGGAGAACAGAACAGGGAAGAAGGAAGAGAAAGAGAAGAGACAGACUGGAAGCUCUUGAUUAAAACAACACAAGUGGAAGUUGCACCAUCUUUGGUUUAAGGCAGAGUAGCAGUCAGGUGCUUUUUUUUUAUGUUGGUUCUGUUCAGAUUAAAUCAGGGCAACCACUACCCCGGCCGGAACUGUGUUGAUCAUUCCAGCUAGAAGGAUUCCCUUUUUGAAGCAUCUUUCUCUUACUUUGCUUUUGGACCUUGCUUUUGUAUUUGUAAAUGCAAUAUUUCUGACCUAAAUCAUAUUAACAAUAUACAAACAUCUUCUUCACCU
This 503-nucleotide long non-coding RNA is filed under the name Rosa chinensis. Its description in RNAcentral is "sRNA RchiOBHm_Chr7g0203701". The record is from RNAcentral. Lineage: Eukaryota; Viridiplantae; Streptophyta; Magnoliopsida; Rosales; Rosaceae.